This 1347-nucleotide ribosomal RNA is filed under the name Triticum aestivum (bread wheat). RNAcentral describes it as "partial small subunit ribosomal RNA". The record is from RNAcentral. Lineage: Eukaryota; Viridiplantae; Streptophyta; Magnoliopsida; Poales; Poaceae.
AUGCUUGAACACUUGAGUGAUUAUAUGUCUAGAGUUAAAGGUGAAAUUAAACUUAUUAGUAAACAUGCUUCUAUGGUGACCACUCAAGUAGAACAAGUACUUAAGGCUCAGAAAGAUUUGCUCAAUGAAUUAAAUAAUAAUAAAAAUGAUAAUGCUGUUAGAGUUGUGACUAGAGGGGGUAAAAUGACUCAGGAACCUUUGUAUCCUGAGGGCCACCCUAAGAGAAUUGAGCAAGAUUCUCAGAGAACUAAUGUUGAUGCACCUAGUUCUUCUAAGAAGAAGAAAAAGAAAAAUGAUAGGACUUUGCAUGCUUCUAGUGAACCUGUUGUAGACACACCUGAGAAUCCCAAUGAUAUUUCUAUUUCUGAUGCUGAAACACAAUCUGGUAAUGAACAUGAACCUAGUGAUAAUGUUAAUGAUGAUGUUCAUGUUGAUGCUCAACCUAGCAAUGACAAUGAUGUAGAGAUUGAACCUGCUGUUGAUCUUGAUAACCCACAAUCAAAGAAUCAAUUUUAUGAUAAGAGAGACUUUGUUGCUAGGAAGCACGGUAAAGAAAGAGAACCAUGGGUUCAAAAACCAAUGCCUUUUCCUCCUAAACCAUCCAAGAAAAAGAAUGAUGAGGAUUUUGAGCAUUUUGCUGAAAUGAUUAGACCUAUCUUUUUGCGUAUGUGUUUGACUGAUAUGCUUAAAAUGAACCCUUAUUCUAAGUAUAUGAAAGAUAUUGUUACUAAUAAAAGAAAGAUACCGGAAGCUGAAAUUUCCACCAUGCUUGCUAAUUAUAAUUUUAAAGGUGGAAUACCAAAGAAACUAGGAGAUCCCGGAAUACCAACUAUACCAUGCUCCAUUAAAAGAAACUAUGUUAAAACUGCUUUAUGUGAUCUCGGAGCCGGUGUUAGUGUUAUGCCUCUCUCUUUAUAUCGUAGACUUGAUUUGAAUAAGUUGACACCUACUGAAAUAUCUUUGCAAAUGGCUGAUAAAUCAAUUGCUAUACCUGUCGGUGUUUGUGAGGAUGUGCCGGUUGUGGUUGCAAACGUUACUAUUUUAACAGACUUUGUUAUUCUUGAUAUUCCUGAGGACGAUAGUAUGUCCAUUAUUCUUGGAAGACCCCUUUUGAAUACUGCAGUGGCUGUUAUUGAUUGCAACAAAGGCAAUGUCACUUUUCAUGUUAAUGGUAAUGAGCAUACGGUACACUUUCCAAGGAAACAACCUCAAGUGCACAGUAUCAAUUCUAUUGGAAAAAAUCCAACAAUUACUGUUGGAGGUUUUGAAUUUCCUCUUCCUACUCUCAAGCAGAAAUAUGAUAUUCUUAUUGUUGGGGACGUGCAUAUCCCCGUUGAGGUAACCUAG